RNAcentral lists this ribosomal RNA (483 nucleotides) under uncultured bacterium. RNAcentral describes it as "partial 16S ribosomal RNA". It matches the Rfam family "Bacterial small subunit ribosomal RNA", at positions 30 to 506 of the family's 1533-position model. The record is from RNAcentral.
AUUGAACGCUGGCGGCAGGCCUAACACAUGCAAGUCGAGCGGAUGAAGGGAGCUUGCUCCUGGAUUCAGCGGCGGACGGGUGAGUAAUGCCUAGGAAUCUGCCUGGUAGUGGGGGAUAACGUCCGGAAACGGGCGCUAAUACCGCAUACGUCCUGAGGGAGAAAGUGGGGGAUCUUCGGACCUCACGCUAUCAGAUGAGCCUAGGUCGGAUUAGCUAGUUGGUGGGGUAAAGGCCUACCAAGGCGACGAUCCGUAACUGGUCUGAGAGGAUGAUCAGUCACACUGGGAAACAGAGACCCGGCCCACACCCACGGGAGGCGGAAGUGGGGGAAAUUGGAGAAAGGGCGAAAACCCGUUCCCGCCCCACCGCGGGUGUGGGGAAAGUCUUUUCGUUUUAAAACGCUUUUAAUUUGGGGGAAGGGGAGUAAAUUUAAACCCUUUUCUUUUUAGGCUUCACACAGAAAAAACACCCCGGAACUUUGC